RNAcentral lists this ribosomal RNA (504 nucleotides) under uncultured bacterium. RNAcentral's name for it is "partial 16S ribosomal RNA". It matches the Rfam family "Bacterial small subunit ribosomal RNA", at positions 29 to 523 of the family's 1533-position model. The record is from RNAcentral.
AUUGAACGCUGGCGGCAGGCCUAACACAUGCAAGUCGAACGGUAGCACAGAGAGCUUGCUCUUGGGUGACGAGUGGCGGACGGGUGAGUAAUGUCUGGGAAACUGCCUGAUGGAGGGGGAUAACUACUGGAAACGGUAGCUAAUACCGCAUAACGUCGCAAGACCAAAGAGGGGGACCUUCGGGCCUCUUGCCAUCCGAUGUGCCCAGAGGGGAUUAGCUAGCAGGGGGGGUACCGGCUCACCUAGGCGACGAGACCUAGCUGGUCUGAGAGGAUGACCAGCCACACUGGAACUGAGACACGGUCCAGACUCCUACGGGAGGCAGCAGUGGGGAAUAUUGCACAAUGGGCGCAAGCCUGAUGCAGCCAUGCCGCGUGUAUGAAGAAGGCCUUCGGGUUGUAAAGUACUUUCAGCGAGGAGGAAGGCGAUACGGUUAAUAACCGUGUCGAUUGACGUUACUCGCAGAAGAAGCACCGGCUAACUCCGUGCCAGCCGCCGCGGUAA